AAUCAACGCUGGCGGCGCGCUUAACACAUGCAAGUCGCACGAGAAAGUGGAGCAAUCCAUGAGUACAGUGGCGUACGGGUGAGUAACACGUGGGUAAUCUACCUCUUAGUGGGGAAUAACUCUGGGAAACCGGAGCUAAUACCGCAUAAGCCUGGAAAGGGAAAGCAGCAAUGCGCUGAGAGAGGAGCCCGCGGCCGAUUAGCUAGUUGGUAGGGUAAAAGCCACCAAGGCAAUGAUCGGUAGCCGGCCUGAGAGGGCACACGGCCACACUGGCACUGAAACACGGGCCAGACUCCUACGGGAGGCAGCAGUGGGGAAUCUUGCACAAUGGGGGCAACCCUGAUGCAGCGACGCCGCGUGAGCGAUGAAG
This 370-nucleotide ribosomal RNA is filed under the name uncultured bacterium. RNAcentral's name for it is "bacterial SSU rRNA". It matches the Rfam family "Bacterial small subunit ribosomal RNA", at positions 32 to 413 of the family's 1533-position model. The record is from RNAcentral.